AACUGCCAACACCUGCUUACUACGCGCCGGAGAACACGUAGACCCAGCACACAAAACACAAAAACAGGAUUGUCAUGCGGCUACUGAACAGAUAAAAUUUUUUAAGAAAUAGGCUAGUUCUUGAUCACGUUAUGGACGUCCCAAAUGAAGUAGGCUACUAUUAAAGGAGGGUGUAAACACUUUUCUUUUGCUACGGAUUAAAUGUUGACGUGCUCUGCUGGAUUUAGACGAAAAGUGUGUUUCUGUGGACAUUGCUUUAAUUCAUCCUUGUGGAUCUUAAAGCUAAUAACACGGUGCUUAUUAAAAGAAGGAAAAAUUAGAGGAGACAAAUGAAGAGGAGGAGGGAUGAACAUUCACAAGCCGGAGGAUCAAAACCAGCAAAUCUGGAGGAUCUUGUUAAAAGGAACAGUAUGGAACUUCCUGCGACUCUGAAAUUCUCUCAGGAUGCAGACAGACCAGAGAGACAUUUUGAAGUAUCAGAAUCAAAGACGAGAUCAUCUGAACACCAACCAGACAAAUCUCUAUGAAUCUCUCACGUUUCUUCAGAUGGAGCUGAAAUUGCUAAGUGUUUCCAGGCCUGGCUCCAUCCAAGCAGGAGUAUCAAAAAUUCACGUUUAUUUAGAAAGUAGAAAGCAUGUAAGUCUUGCCAGUUUACUGUAAAGGAAUUUUCCAUAUUGAUUUUUUUUUACACGUGUUUUAUUUUGCAAUUCUAUUUUGUGUUUUAGGGUUAAUGGAAAUGUUUGUAAAAUUAAUGGAUAAUGUCCUAGCAGAAAAUUGAAUAUUACUAGUAUAUUUUUUGUGUUGUUGUUGUUGUUGUUGUUGUUGUUGUUGUUGUUGUUGUUGUUGUUGUUUUAACAGUGUUUUGGCUGUUUUCUGUGCACACACAGAGAGCACAUAUCAGACAUUACUGAACUUAUCUUAACUGAGUUACAAUAAAAUGUCUUAAAGAAUGUAACUAGUUGGGAGAACAGAGACAGAGACAACAGCUUUAUAAACCUGCUGCUGUCUUGUGUCAUUAAUGUUUAUUGAAAAAAAAAUCUGAAGCUAAUUUAAGAUUCAUUUUAACACUAAUUUUAAUCUUAUAUCUUUAAUAAGGAUUAAGCUAUAUUUAAUUUAUCAUUAUAGUAUUUCAUACCUAAAUAUACUGCUAAACUUACAGCAGUUUUGCUUUCAUUUGUAUCCUUGUUCAGCUGUAUUUAUUUGCACUAUUGCUUGUAAUUUAUUCAUUAAUUGUUUUUCUUUUAUUACUGACUUGUCUUUUUAAUUUUUUUUCUUUAUUUUAUUUUAUUGCCCACCAGGAAUGUUCAUUGGUCCCACCUUACAUGUAUUCAAAUAUAUUGUGUGCAUGUAAAUAUUGUGUAUACUGUAUGUACAAUCUGCUUUAGAAAUUUGUUAUAAAGAGUAACUUUGUUGUAAAGAUGUAAAAUGUAACUGCAGUAUAUUGAUGCGUAAUGCCACAGGAUGAAGUAUCAAAUAUGACAGAUGCUCUUCGUUAUACAGUAGGUCACGUGAUUAAAGACAGAAUGUUUUCCGGUCCGUUGAUGAUAACACAUCAUGUGUAACUAGUGUAUAUUUCUAUACUUUAUCAUAAAUCUGAUUUUAAACCUUUUAGAGAAGUAUGUGUCUUUGACAUAAAAACAUCUGAUGACAGCUAUAAAUAAUUUUUUUUUCUCACUGAUUGCUUCAUGACAGUGAUAAAGGAUGAAAUAUCUGAUAAUUCUACAGCUGAUCAUUUCUUUAUUAUAUGAUCAUUAUUCAUCAUCAGUACAAAAACAAACUGUUUUGAACUGUUUGAAAGAGUGAGUCUGAGGACCACAAGUAUCUAUUUAAAGUAUGAUUCAACCAAAAAUAAAAUCUUAUCAUAAUUUC
Molecule: long non-coding RNA, 1869 nt
Organism: Cyprinus carpio (common carp)
Lineage: Eukaryota; Metazoa; Chordata; Actinopteri; Cypriniformes; Cyprinidae
Source: RefSeq, a predicted model, not a curated record